This 729-nucleotide ribosomal RNA is filed under the name marine sediment metagenome. RNAcentral's name for it is "LSU rRNA". It matches the Rfam family "Bacterial large subunit ribosomal RNA", at positions 2203 to 2925 of the family's 2925-position model. The record is from RNAcentral.
CCCUUGGUAUGUUUGGGUUCUAACCUUUCGCCGUUAUCCGGCAAAGGGACAGUAUUUGGUGGGCAGUUUGACUGGGGCGGUCACCUCCUAAAGAGUAACGGAGGUGUCCCAAGGUCUCCUCAGUGUGGUUGGAAAUCACACCAGAGAGUGUAAGGGCAUAAGGAGGCUUAACUGCGAGAGAGACAUCUCGAGCAGAUGCGAAAGCAGGGCCUAGUGAUCCGGCGGUAACUAGUGGAUGUGCCGUCGCUUAACGGAUAAAAGGUACUCCGGGGAUAACAGGCUAAUCUCCCCCAAGAGUCCAUAUCGACGGGGAGGUUUGGCACCUCGAUGUCGGCUCGUCGCAUCCUGGGGCUGAAGCAGGUCCCAAGGGUUUGGCUGUUCGCCAAUUAAAGCGGUACGCGAGCUGGGUUUAGAACGUCGUGAGACAGUUCGGUCCCUAUCCGUCGUGGGCGUAGGAUACUUGAAGAGGGUCUGCCUCUAGUACGAGAGGACCGAGGUGGACGAACCUCUAGUGUACCAGUUGUCCUGCUCAGGGCAUUGCUGGGUAGCUAUGUUCGGUCGGGAUAAACGCUGAAAGCAUCUAAGCGUGAAGCCCACCUCAAGAUUAGGUAUCCCACCUGGAUUUAUCCAGGGAGAGACCCCGGGUAGACUACCCGGUUGAUAGGUCAGAAGUGUAAGGACAGUAAUGUCUUUAGCUAACUGAUACUAAUAGGUCGAGGACUUGACCGU